RNAcentral lists this unclassified non-coding RNA (201 nucleotides) under Hevea brasiliensis (rubber tree). The record is from RNAcentral. Lineage: Eukaryota; Viridiplantae; Streptophyta; Magnoliopsida; Malpighiales; Euphorbiaceae.
UUCACAUGUCAUCUCCAUGGAAGAGAUUGAAAUUCAACCAUACUUGACAUAUGCAGAAGAACCCAUAUGGAUACUGGCUCAGGAAGUGAAGGAAUUGAGAAAUGAACAUAUUCCACUGGUGAAAGUACUUUGGAGGCACCAUAAUACCGAGGAGGUAACUUGGAAAAGUGAAGAGAUGAUGAGGCAACAGUUCCCUCAACU